Molecule: long non-coding RNA, 344 nt
Filed under: Zea mays
Lineage: Eukaryota; Viridiplantae; Streptophyta; Magnoliopsida; Poales; Poaceae
Description: long non-coding RNA (ZMAY_LNC005131)
Source: RNAcentral
UGAAACGUAAAACAUGAGCCGGGAUGAGGUACGUACGUGAUAUCGUCUCAGAAAGGAGAAAGAGAUGCCGAUGACAAGAUAUCAGUGUUAUCAAUCAUGAAUCUGCUGCCUGCUGGCUGCUGCUACCCGCAGGCGCCCAUAUGGUCAAAGACAAUAAAAAAAAAACAUUCAGUUAUAAAGGUCAGAGAGAUCUAGAGCGCGCGCUUAAAAGAAGCAGGAAAACAAAAUUGAUUAUUUGUCCAGCCAUAACCUGAUAACCUUAUUCAAGAAACCUAUCAGUUGCCAGUAGAAGAGGCAGACAGCCGUUAAUAAGAUUGAUUAUUUGUCCCCUUGGGACAUUAGGA